Molecule: ribosomal RNA, 459 nt
Filed under: uncultured bacterium
Lineage: Bacteria
Description: partial 16S ribosomal RNA
Rfam family: Bacterial small subunit ribosomal RNA
Source: RNAcentral
CCUACGGGAGGCAGCAGUGAGGAAUAUUGGUCAAUGGGCGCUAGCCUGAACCAGCCAAGUCGCGUGAAGGAUGACUGCCCUAUGGGUUGUAAACUUCUUUUGUCGGGGAGUAAAGUGCGGUAUGUAUCCUGCUUUGCGUGUACCUGGUGAAUAAGCAUCGCCUAACUCCGUGCCAGCAGCCGCGGUAAUACGGAGGAUCCGAGCGUUAUCCGGAUUUAUUGGGUUUAAAGGGUGCGAAGGCGGGUGCGAAAGUCAGUGGUAAAAUUUGGGGGCUCAACCUCAUACUGCCGUUGAAACUUGGUUUCUUGAGUAGGCGAGAGGUAGGCGGAAUGCGUGGUGUAGCGGUGAAAUGCAUAGAUAUCACGCAGAACUCCGAUUGCGAAGGCAGCAUACCGGCGCCCAACUGACGCUGAGGCACGAAAGCGUGGGUAUCGAACAGGAUUAGAUACCCGUGUAGUC